UGCCAGCCGCCGCGGUAAUACGGAGGGUCCGAGCGUUAAUCGGAAUUACUGGGCGUAAAGCGCGCGUAGGCGGUAUGAUAAGUUGGAUGUGAAAGCCCAGGGCUCAACCUUGGAACUGCAUCCAAAACUGUCAUGCUAGAGUAUUGUAGAGGGGUGUGGAAUUUCAGGUGUAGCGGUGAAAUGCGUAGAGAUCUGAAGGAACAUCAGUGGCGAAGGCGACACCCUGGACAAAUACUGACGCUGAGGUGCGAAAGCGUGGGGAGCAAACGGGAUUAGAUA
RNAcentral lists this ribosomal RNA (279 nucleotides) under uncultured bacterium. RNAcentral describes it as "partial 16S ribosomal RNA". It matches the Rfam family "Bacterial small subunit ribosomal RNA", at positions 506 to 784 of the family's 1533-position model. The record is from RNAcentral.